Long non-coding RNA from Salarias fasciatus (jewelled blenny), 414 nucleotides. RefSeq lists it as uncharacterized. The record is from RefSeq and is a predicted model, not a curated record. The transcript is spliced from 3 exons. NCBI's taxonomy places the organism in Eukaryota, Metazoa, Chordata, Actinopteri, Blenniiformes, Blenniidae.
AUUCAGCAUAACUUCCUCAAAUGAUGGUGGUGAAUAUGAUUGUGUUGGUCGUCAGAAUGUUUCAUCUGAAACAGAGAAAAGUGAAACUGUCUCUUUUACUGCAGCAGAGAAACCCAGGGCUACACUGACAUCAGGCACCAAAACCAUCUCAGUCGGAGGCUCAGUGAGUCUUUCCUGCUCUGUGAGAGACUCUGAUGGAUGGAAAUAUGAGUUUUACAGAUUAACAUCAACCAGCUGGGAGAAACUAGUUGAAACAAAUGUUGGGGACAAUGGAGUCAUCCAGGUAUCUAAAGGAGGAAUUUACCGGUGCAGAGGAGAGAGAGAAACAUCAGGUUAUCUCUCUGACAUGAGUGAUGAAGCCUACAUUUGGAUAACUUUCACCAACAAGCCUGUCAUAACACGACAACCCAGCUG